This 107-nucleotide small nuclear RNA is filed under the name Dasypus novemcinctus (nine-banded armadillo). Lineage: Eukaryota; Metazoa; Chordata; Mammalia; Cingulata; Dasypodidae. The record is from RNAcentral.
GUGCUCACUUCGGUAGCACAUGUACUAAAUUUGGAAUGAUUCAGAGAAGAUUAACAUGGCCCCUAUACAAGGAUGACACACAAAUUCACAAAACAUUCCAUAUUUUG